RNAcentral lists this long non-coding RNA (876 nucleotides) under Olea europaea subsp. europaea. Lineage: Eukaryota; Viridiplantae; Streptophyta; Magnoliopsida; Lamiales; Oleaceae. The record is from RNAcentral.
UUCUUGGUAGGUUUCUCUCAUUCAGCGUUUUUGUGAAUUUUCAGGUAAAAAAUAAGAUUUCUCUUUCUAUUUUUUGUAUAAGAAUUUUUCGAAAAAAUAAUUCGAUUAUGUUGGCAUCAAAUUCUGGCACUAUUUGAGCUCCUUUUCAAGAAAUAGAUUUUAAAAUAAUGAUUUUUUUUUAAGAAUGACAACUGGUGCGAACGAUGGCAAAAGUAUGUGUCAUUUGCAAGUUCGAACGGUGACUGGUGCGAGCGUGGGGAGGGGAUUUGGGGUUUUUGGAUGUUAUCUCUCUCUCUUUUACCAUCCGCAAUUAAUGAUUUUUGGGGUUUUGUUGGUUGUAUUUUUAGAUCUUGGCGAUGGUUGUAGUGGUGGUGUUGGUAGCUGAUAAAUGUGUUUUUGCACACUUAUUUAUUUAGGUCAUAAACAUAACUUAAACACGAGCAAAAUGAUUGAAUUGUUACUUAAUCUUAUAUAAUUGUGAAUUAUAGGAAACAACGAUGAACAUAGUGAAGAUGAACAUAGUGAAAUUCAGGAGAAAAGACGCGAAGAAGGACUAAAGUGACACAAAGUGAAAUUUCAGGGACCAAAAGUGCAAAUAUCCAAAAGUUGAUCUGAUAAACAAAUCGAGAAAUCGAUCAGGCCAAUUACCAAUUGACGAUAUCGUGGGGUGUUAAAAUGAAAAGAAUGAAGAGAAGAUUUUAAAGAGUGAAGGAUGCAAGUGAGAGGACCAAAACGCAAUUCUACCAUAGUUGAUAGUACUAUGCGACCGCAUAGAACCCAAACGGGAGCUAUAAAUAUAUAUUGUAUUGUGCUAUAAAUAUAUGUUGUAUUGUGUUAUUAAUAUUCAAUAACGAAUAAUUCUCUGAAACAAUCAAA